GUUGAGGACAGAUUGAAUGAGCCUGAGGAUGACCAACAGAGUCUCCGGGAUAAGAUGCAAUAUUAUGCAUUGCGACUAGAUUCACCUACAAGAAAGCUCACUUCUACUGUGAGGAAGAUCCAACAGCAAGCAGAUAAGGUGAGCAGACACAAGGGUACCAUAAUUGUGGAGGACAAUUCUGGAGAUUCAUUUUGUCAUCUAGCUAAAUAUCUAUUGUCACACAAGCUUCAUACCCGUCUCAAUAGUAAGUAACUAAAAUCCAAUAAUCAAACUCACUUGUAGGCAUCCUAUUAACUAUCUGUGCAUAGCCAACUAACAAAGCCAGGUUUCAGUUUCAUGUCACAUUCACUGAUGUAAAGGUCAUUUAUUUCUCCAUAUAAAGAGUGCUUUUGAAAAUAUAGAUUUAAUAAGAGCCAAAAUCACCGGGACACUGACACAACUUUUUCCCACCUCCUCUUUGAGUUGCCUACCUGAUUAGGUGUUUAGAUGGUUUAUAGCAUGAAAUCAAAAGAGAAAUAGGUGUGGGGAGCAGGAGGUCACUUUCCCACAGACCUUCUAUGUGAGAAAUGAAGCACAAAAAAGUCCAGAUCAUCAGUUUUCCAACAAAAUUCACUCCAAUGUUCUUUGCAAGCAUUUGUUAAAAGGGUCAAAGGGAUUGAUGACAACAAACUAAGACAUCACAAAAUGAAGUGUGGGUCUAUGACCCAAGGGAAUAAGUGUGAGCAUUUUAGGUGACAGGUAAUUCCUAAUAUCUGGGGCUUUGUUCUUCAAUGAUGAGAGGGUGAAAGACAGAUUAAAUGAGCUUGAAGAUGAAAAUCAGACUCCAGGAUAAAAUACAAUAUUAUUUAUCCAUUGCAGCAAGAUUCACCAACAAGAAAAAUCUGUACUUCUGAGAAGAUGCAACAGCAAGCAGAAAAUGUUGAGAACAAAUCAAAUGAGCCUGAGGAUGACCAACAGAGUCUCCAGGAUAAGAUGCAAUAUUAUGCGUUGCGACUGGAUUCGCCUACAAAAAAGCUCACUUCUGCUGUAAGGAAGAUCCAACAGCAAGCAGAUAAGGUAAAGGACAGACUGAAGGAAGCCGAGAAUGAGAAACAGAGUCUCCAGGAUAAGGUGCAAUAUUAUUUUUUACAACUGGAUUCACCUACAAGACAACUCAGUUCUACUGUGUGGAAGAUCCAGCAACAGGGAGAUGUGAGCAGUCCCAAGAGCAUAAGAAUGGAUUUACCUACAAGAAAGCACAGUUGUGCUACGAUGAAGAUCCAACAGCAACCAGAGAAGAUGACAGAAAAAUUGAAUGAACCUGAGGAUGAGAAACCAAGUCUCGACAAAAAGAAGCAAUACUAUCUUUCGCAAGGGGACUCGCCUACAAGAAAGCUCCAUACACCUGAGAAGAUGAUACCACAGCAGGCAGAAAAGGACUCACCUAUAAGAAAACUCUAUACACCUGAGAAGAAGAUGCAACAGCAGGCAGAAAAGGAUUCAUCUACAAGAAAGAUCUCUUCGCCUAAGAAGAUGCAACAGCAGGCAGAAAAAGUGAGCAGACACAAGGGCACCAUAAUGGUGGAGAAAGAGAACAGCUCUGGACAGUCAUUCUGUAAUCUAGCCACUCAUCCUUUGUCACACAGUUAUCACUCUGUAAUCUAG
Molecule: long non-coding RNA, 1644 nt
Filed under: Monodelphis domestica (gray short-tailed opossum)
Lineage: Eukaryota; Metazoa; Chordata; Mammalia; Didelphimorphia; Didelphidae
Description: lncRNA (ENSMODG00000051360.1)
Source: RNAcentral